AGAGUUUGAUCCUGGCUCAGAACGAACGUUGGCGGCGUGGAUUAGGCAUGCAAGUCGAACGAGAACCGGCUUUGUAGCAAUACCGAGCCGGGGAAAGUGGCGAAAGGGGCAGUAAUGCGUGGGUAACCAACCCUGGGGACCGGGAUAGCCAUUCUAACGAGUGGGUAAUACCGGGCGACGUAGCGAGUUCACAUGGAUUU
RNAcentral lists this ribosomal RNA (200 nucleotides) under uncultured bacterium. RNAcentral describes it as "partial 16S ribosomal RNA". It matches the Rfam family "Bacterial small subunit ribosomal RNA", at positions 8 to 196 of the family's 1533-position model. The record is from RNAcentral.